Molecule: non-coding RNA, 169 nt
Submitted as: unclassified sequences
Source: Rfam
GGGUAUAACCUAUUUUAUAGCCGAUACCCUUUCUUUUGACACCCAUGCACGGACGCUUCUUGCAUGGUGGGCGAAUGUGCCAUAGCCCAUUUCAUGUGUAUGGGUAAAGCAGAUUAGAAGGCACCCUACAAUUUAUCUGUGCGAAAGGCGAAUACUUUUUUAAUUAUGA